Solanum tuberosum (potato) is the source of this 82-nucleotide non-coding RNA. Lineage: Eukaryota; Viridiplantae; Streptophyta; Magnoliopsida; Solanales; Solanaceae. The record is from Rfam.
GUGAGCCGCAUGCGGGGAGACCCACCCGCACGUACGGUUUUUAGGGGGAUCUGGUCGAAAAACCGGCCGGCGCCCACCCGAC